RNAcentral lists this ribosomal RNA (850 nucleotides) under Corynebacterium sp. Its description in RNAcentral is "bacterial SSU rRNA". It matches the Rfam family "Bacterial small subunit ribosomal RNA", at positions 59 to 918 of the family's 1533-position model. The record is from RNAcentral. Lineage: Bacteria; Bacillati; Actinomycetota; Actinomycetes; Mycobacteriales; Corynebacteriaceae.
CAGUCGAACGGAAGGCCUCCAGCUUGCUGGGGGUACUCGAGUGGCGAACGGGUGAGUAACACGUGGGUGAUCUGCCCUGCACUUCGGGAUAAGCCUGGGAAACUGGGUCUAAUACCGGAUAGGACCCUCCUUUAGUGUGGGGGGUGGAAAGUUUUUUCGGUGCAGGAUGAGCCCGCGGCCUAUCAGCUUGUUGGUGGGGUAAUGGCCUACCAAGGCGUCGACGGGUAGCCGGCCUGAGAGGGUGGACGGCCACAUUGGGACUGAGAUACGGCCCAGACUCCUACGGGAGGCAGCAGUGGGGAAUAUUGCACAAUGGGCGCAAGCCUGAUGCAGCGACGCCGCGUGGGGGAUGACGGCCUUCGGGUUGUAAACCUCUUUCGACAGGGACGAAGCUUUUUGUGACGGUACCUGUAUAAGAAGCACCGGCUAACUACGUGCCAGCAGCCGCGGUAAUACGUAGGGUGCGAGCGUUGUCCGGAAUUACUGGGCGUAAAGAGCUCGUAGGUGGUUUGUCGCGUCGUCUGUGAAAUUCCGGGGCUUAACUCCGGGCGUGCAGGCGAUACGGGCAAUACUUGAGUGCUGUAGGGGAGACUGGAAUUCCUGGUGUAGCGGUGAAAUGCGCAGAUAUCAGGAGGAACACCAAUGGCGAAGGCAGGUCUCUGGGCAGUAACUGACGCUGAGGAGCGAAAGCAUGGGUAGCGAACAGGAUUAGAUACCCUGGUAGUCCAUGCCGUAAACGGUGGGCGCUAGGUGUAGGGGUCUUCCACGACUUCUGUGCCGUAGCUAACGCAUUAAGCGCCCCGCCUGGGGAGUACGGCCGCAAGGCUAAAACUCAAAGGAAUUGACGGGG